AGUGAACGCUGGCGGUAGGCCUAACACAUGCAAGUCGAACGGCAGCACAGUAAGAGCUUGCUCUUACGGGUGGCGAGUGGCGGACGGGUGAGGAAUACAUCGGAAUCUACUUUUUCGUGGGGGAUAACGUAGGGAAACUUACGCUAAUACCGCAUACGACCUACGGGUGAAAGCAGGGGAUCUUCGGACCUUGCGCGAUUGAAUGAGCCGAUGUCGGAUUAGCUAGUUGGCGGGGUAAAGGCCCACCAAGGCGACGAUCCGUAGCUGGUCUGAGAGGAUGAUCAGCCACACUGGAACUGAGACACGGUCCAGACUCCUACGGGAGGCAGCAGUUGGGAAUAUUGGACAAUGGGCGCAAGCCUGAUCCAGCCAUACCGCGUGGGUGAAGAAGGCCUUCGGGUUGUAAAGCCCUUUUGUUGGGAAAGAAAAGCAGCAGGUUAAUACCCCGCUGUUCUGACGGUACCCAAAGAAUAAGCACCGGCUAACUUCGU
RNAcentral lists this ribosomal RNA (491 nucleotides) under uncultured bacterium. RNAcentral's name for it is "partial 16S ribosomal RNA". It matches the Rfam family "Bacterial small subunit ribosomal RNA", at positions 29 to 506 of the family's 1533-position model. The record is from RNAcentral.